GAGUUUGAUCGUGGCUCAGAUUGAACGCUGGCGGCAUGCCUUACACAUGCAAGUCGAACGGUAACAGGUCUUCGGAUGCUGACGAGUGGCGAACGGGUGAGUAAUACAUCGGAACGUGCCCGAUCGUGGGGGAUAACGAAGCGAAAGCUUUGCUAAUACCGCAUACGAUCUACGGAUGAAAGCAGGGGACCGCAAGGCCUUGCGCGAACGGAGCAGCCGAUGGCAGAUUAGGUAGUUGGUGGGAUAAAAAGCUUACCAAGCCGACGAUCUGUAGCUGGUCUGAGAGGACGACCAGCCACACUGGGACUGAGACACGGCCCAGACUCCUACGGGAGGCAGCAGUGGGGAAUUUUGGACAAUGGGCGAAAGCCUGAUCCAGCCAUGCCGCGUGCAGGAUGAAGGCCU
This 405-nucleotide ribosomal RNA is filed under the name uncultured microorganism. RNAcentral describes it as "bacterial SSU rRNA". It matches the Rfam family "Bacterial small subunit ribosomal RNA", at positions 9 to 417 of the family's 1533-position model. The record is from RNAcentral.